AAUAAAUCACCGAAGUUAAGCAUCAUUGGGCGCGGUCAGUACUUGGGUGGGUGACCACCUGGGAACACUGCGUGCCGUU
Molecule: non-coding RNA, 79 nt
Organism: Caerostris darwini
Lineage: Eukaryota; Metazoa; Arthropoda; Arachnida; Araneae; Araneidae
Source: the annotation of a GenBank genome assembly